Molecule: long non-coding RNA, 342 nt
Filed under: Hordeum vulgare
Lineage: Eukaryota; Viridiplantae; Streptophyta; Magnoliopsida; Poales; Poaceae
Description: long non-coding RNA (HVUL_LNC016058)
Source: RNAcentral
UUAUUUGGAUGCUUAACUAGUUUGCAUUUUGCAAAGUUUUUUCUACACAUAGAAUCGCACAAGAAUUAACGGUAGUAACACGGCAAAUCGUUUGUGUUCUUUUGGCUCAUCGCAAACAGUUCAUCUAUGUGAACUGUAUGUCGUAUAUCACACACAUCUUGUUAAAUUGAACCAUUUCUAUUGUGUUUCCAAAUCGGAAAAAGUUCAUCCGAGUGAACCAUACGCCGUAUAUCGCACACAUCUUAUUCUGGCUAACCGUUUCUGUUGUGUUGCCUAAUCACAAACAGUUUAUACGAGUGAAUUGUAUGCCGUAUAUCGCAUACACCUUCAUCUGGCUCCUGA